Molecule: ribosomal RNA, 255 nt
Filed under: uncultured bacterium
Lineage: Bacteria
Description: partial 16S ribosomal RNA
Rfam family: Bacterial small subunit ribosomal RNA
Source: RNAcentral
UCUUUCUUUGCUGGCGACCGGCGCGCGGGUGAGUAACACGUAUCCAACCUGCCCUUUACUCGGGGAUAGCCUUUCGAAAGAAAGAUUAAUACCCGAUGGCAUAAUGAUUCCGCAUGGUUUCAUUAUUAAAGGAUUCCGGUAAAGGAUGGGGAUGCGUUCCAUUAGGUUGUUGGUGAGGUAACGGCCCACCAAGCCUUCGAUGGAUAGGGGUUCUGAGAGGAAGGUCCCCCACAUUGGAACUGAGACACGGUCCAA